UUGACACUGCCACCGGGUAGAGAUGUUAUUGAUUGAUGAAGCAUCUGCACCGUAUCUUUAGGUCUUAGUAGAUACGGUACAGAUGCUUUUUUGUU
This 95-nucleotide non-coding RNA is filed under the name unclassified sequences. The record is from RNAcentral.